GACGAACGCUGGCGGCGUGCUUAACACAUGCAAGUCGAGCGGAGCGGCGAACGGGUGAGUAACGCGUGAGUAACUGCCCACCACGCUGGGUAAACAGCUGGAAACGGCUGCUAAUACCGGAUAGUGGGGGAUGACUCGCGUCCUAUAAGCUUGUUGGUGAGGUAGUGGCCUACCAAGUCGACGACGGGUAGCCGGCCUGAAAGGGCGACCGGCCACAUUGGGAUGAGAUACAGCCGAGAAACCAACGGGAGGCAUCAGUGGGGAAUAGUGCACAAUAGGGAAAACCCUGAUGCAGCGGCGCGGGUGCGGAAUGGCGUCCUUCGGGUUGUAAACCGCGUUCAUCCAGGACGCGGUAGUGGCAGAAGAAGCACCGGCUAACUACGUGCCAGCAGCCGCGGUAAUAC
This 404-nucleotide ribosomal RNA is filed under the name uncultured bacterium. RNAcentral's name for it is "partial 16S ribosomal RNA". It matches the Rfam family "Bacterial small subunit ribosomal RNA", at positions 28 to 526 of the family's 1533-position model. The record is from RNAcentral.